This 516-nucleotide long non-coding RNA is filed under the name Phoenix dactylifera (date palm). RNAcentral's name for it is "long non-coding RNA (PDAC_LNC015734)". Lineage: Eukaryota; Viridiplantae; Streptophyta; Magnoliopsida; Arecales; Arecaceae. The record is from RNAcentral.
ACCAUGAUGGGACAACCGAUAAUGCCAUAUUUUUAGCCUGCGACAGAAGAAUCUAUAAUAAUGAGAUCAACCUAGAGUCCUUAUCUGUUUAAUCAAGUUCACAUUUGCAUAUCAAUUCUUCUUAAUUCCGGCUUUAGACUAAUUACAACCAUAUUCUCUGUCCGUGAUGGGGCAAAUGAUAAGUGUCACAUUUUUUGCUCAUGACAGAGCAAUCGAUAGUGUCACAUUUUCCACCUGGAUGGGGCACUUUAUAUAAUGUGAUUAGUCCAAAGUAUCAUAUCCAUUAGUCUAAUUAUGCAAUUGUCAGUUAGUUUAAUUAUGGAACCAUCAUACCAUCAAUCAUAGACAUAACAAUCAAAACACAAUUUAAAAUAGGAAACCACAUAAUGAAAAUCUUUGCGUCUUACUUAUUUUGAUCGUUAGCAUGUCAUAUAUAUAUGUAUACAAUAUAUUUAUAAGCAUGCAGGUGAGUAUAUGAGGUUUUUUUAUCUCUACUGAUGACAGACUCAAACACAA